UACGGAAGGCAGCAGUGGGGAAUAUUGCACAAUGGGCGAAAGCCUGAUGCAGCUAUGCCGCGUGUAUGAAGAAGGCCUUAGGGUUGUAAAGUACUUUCAGCAGGGAGGAAAGAAAUAAAACUAAUAAUUUUAUUUUGUGACGUUACCUGAAGAAGAAGCACCGGCUAACUCCGUGCCAGCAGCCGCGGUAAUACGGAGGGUGCAAGCGUUAAUCAGAAUUACUGGGCGUAAAGAGCGCGUAGGUGGUUUUUUUAAAGUCAGAUGUGAAAUCCCUAGGCUUAACCUAGGAACUGCAUUUUGAAACUGAAAAACUAGAGUAUCGUAGAGGGAGGUAGAAUUCUAGGUGUAGCGGUGAAAUGCGUAGAUAUCUGGAGGAAUACCUGUGGCGAAAGCGGCCUCCUAAACGAAUACUGACACUGAGGUGCGAAAGCGUGGGGAGCAAACAGGGAUUAGAUACC
Molecule: ribosomal RNA, 458 nt
Filed under: uncultured bacterium
Lineage: Bacteria
Description: bacterial SSU rRNA
Rfam family: Bacterial small subunit ribosomal RNA
Source: RNAcentral